GACGAACGCUGGCGGCGUGCUUAACACAUGCAAGUCGCACGGGGUAGCAAUACCCAGUGGCGAACGGGUGCGUAACACGUGAGGAACAUGACUUCCGGUGGGGGAUAGCCGGCCCAACGGCCGGGUAAUACCGCAUACGCUGCGCGAGGGGCAUCCCUCGUGUCGGAAAGCAGCAAUGCGCCGGAAAGGUGCCUCGCGGCCUAUCAGCUAGUUGGUGAGGUAAUGGCUCACCAAGGCGACGACGGGUAGCUGGUUUGAGAGGAUGAUCAGCCACAUUGGGACUGAGGCACGGCCCAGACUCCUACGGGAGGCAGCAGUGGGGAAUAUUGCGCAAUGGGCGAAAGCCUGACGCAGCGACGCCGCGUGUGGGAUGAAGGCCUUCGGGUUGUAAACCACUGUCGGGAGGGACGAAGCUCUGACGGUACCCCCAAAGGAAGCACCGGCUAACUCUGUGCCAGCCGCCGCGGUAAGAC
RNAcentral lists this ribosomal RNA (473 nucleotides) under uncultured bacterium. RNAcentral describes it as "bacterial SSU rRNA". It matches the Rfam family "Bacterial small subunit ribosomal RNA", at positions 28 to 526 of the family's 1533-position model. The record is from RNAcentral.